This is a long non-coding RNA of Prunus avium (sweet cherry), 1365 nucleotides long. RefSeq lists it as uncharacterized. Lineage: Eukaryota; Viridiplantae; Streptophyta; Magnoliopsida; Rosales; Rosaceae. The record is from RefSeq and is a predicted model, not a curated record.
UUCUGUUUUUUUAUUUAUAUCGAUUUAUUUUGCUUUUUUUUUUAAUUAUUUUCUAUUUCCUGUCAUUUUUGUUUCAUAGAGUAUAGAUCUUCAUAGGUUGUAACACAAAAUCUGUUGAUCUUUUCCUUUUCCCUUUCCCCUUUCUGUUGUUGUUGAUUGAGAUUUUGGUUUUGAUUUUCUGUCUGAAGCUUUUAAAGUCCUGUUUUUUGUGUCUUUGUCUACCUGUCACACUGCAUCAAUUGCAGCAGAAAUAAUGGAAUUCCCGUGAAAAUGCAUGGUCAUGAAUUUGGGAAAGCAAGUUGGAUAGGGAGUCUUUUGUUGUGUGUGGGUAUGUGCACAUGUAGAUAUAACCUGUUCUCUUAUUUGAGUGUUGUUCAUUCAUGUUCCCUUUGUUUGUUGGUUUCGUUAUUAGCAGAAGUCAAAUAUGAUUUCAUUUUUGGGGACCUUAUCUGUAAGCUCUCUCUCUCUCUCCCUAUUUUUCUGUCUUUAGAUUCAUUUUCAAGUACUCAGUUUGCAUUCCAGAACCCACUUUCUUUGUUGGGUAUUUUUGUUUUCACUUUUCUGCUGCUUGUUAAAAACAAAAGUUCGAAUUUUUUUUAUAAAAAAUGAGAAAAAUGGUAUCAUAUUAUGGUACUAUGGUACACUUGAAUUGCAUUCGGAAACCCACUCUCAUUUUUGGUUAUUUUUGUUUUCACUUUUCUGCUGCUUGUUAACAACCAAAAUAAAAAAUAAAAGAAGAAGAAGAUAAAAGUGAGAUAUAUCAUAUUAUGGUUACUAUGGUACACUUGAACUGAACCUAGCACAUUAAUUUUGGAUUUCUUUAGUUUAAUUGUCUAUCUGAGAUAGCUUUCUUUCAUAUAUUUUUCACAGUUCAUAGCCGAUCAUUGUGGUACUUUGAAUAUGUCUUAGCCUUUUUCUGUGCAAGUUUUUCUUAUUUAUCCUGGUCCUCCUUUUCUUCUCAAAGUACAUUGCUUUUUUCUUUUCCUUUUGUUUGCCUUCUGUUUAGUGCUUAUGGCCUUGAAUGAAGUUCUACUUAAUGUUUGGCACAUCUCCAAUUGUAGGCUUAAAUUACUUUUUGGGUGGGACAUCACGAAAUUACAGGGAUGAUGGAGUAGACUUCAAUUGUGCAUCAAUUGUAUGUUUGGAUGAGAGGAAGGCUUGGAUGAGGAGUACUAGAUGUAGGUCUUGUUAGGAGAAAAUUGUACUAAAGAAGCUACUCAUAGUGGUAAAAGUUGAAGAAAUGCAGAGGAAAAUUGGUGAUGAUGAAUGUAUAGCUCUGUAUACAUAUGGAGAACUUGACUUGAAGGAUAAUUAGGUAUAGGAAUUUUGGUGUAUUAUUAUAAUUAGGCUUGCAGCUAGCUGCCU